CAGCCGCCGCGGUAAUACGUAGGGUGCGAGCGUUAAUCGGAUUUACUGGGCGUAAAGCGUGCGCAGGAGGCCCGUUAAGACAGGUGUGAAAUCCCUGGGCUCAACCUAGGAAUUGCGCUUGUGACUGGCGGGCUCGAGUACGGUAGAGGGGGGUGGAAUUCCUGGUGUAGCAGUGAAAUGCGUAGCGAUCAGGAGGAACACCGAUGGCGAAGGCAGCCCCCUGGGCCUGUACUGACGCUCAUGCACGAAAGCGUGGGGAGCAAACAGGAUUAGAUACCCGGGUAGUCCACGCCCUAAACGAUGGGUACUAGCCGUUUGGUGCGCGAUAGCGCUGAGUGGCGAAGCUAACGCGUGAAGUACCCCGCCUGGGGAGUACGGCCGCAAGGUUGAAACUUAAAGGAAUUGGCGGG
Molecule: ribosomal RNA, 410 nt
Filed under: uncultured microorganism
Description: bacterial SSU rRNA
Rfam family: Bacterial small subunit ribosomal RNA
Source: RNAcentral